CCUACGGGUGGCAGCAGUGAGGAAUAUUGGUCAAUGGGCGCGAGCCUGAACCAGCCAUGUAGCGUGAAGGAUGACUGCCCUCCGGGUUGUAAACUUCUUUUAUAAAGGAAUAAAGUGCGGCACGUGUGCCUUUUUGUAGUUACUUUAUGAAUAAGGAUCGGCUAACUUCGUGCCAGCAGCCGCGGUAAUACGGAGGAUCCGAGCGUUAUCCGGAUUGAUUGGGUUUAAAGGGAGCGUAGAUGGGUUGUUAAGUCAGUUGUGAAAGUUUGCGGCUCAACCGUAAAAUUGCAAUUGAUACUGGCAGUCUUGAGUACAGUUGAGGUAGGCGGAAUUCGUGGUGUAGCGGUGAAAUGCUUAGAUAUCACGAAGAACUCCGAUUGCGAAGGCAGCUUACUAAACUGCCACUGACAUUGAUGCUCGAAAGUGUGGGUAUCAAACAGGAUUAGAUACCCUUGUAGUC
Molecule: ribosomal RNA, 460 nt
Filed under: uncultured bacterium
Lineage: Bacteria
Description: partial 16S ribosomal RNA
Rfam family: Bacterial small subunit ribosomal RNA
Source: RNAcentral